AUGCCACGUGGGAGGCGGCGGAGCCGCCGUCGGCGCCGGGCCGGAACCGCGGCCCCCCUGACGUUGGGGACGGCGCUCGCCGGGCGUCGGGAGGAGGGGAGGUCUCGGAGCCCCCGGGACCGCAGCGCGGUGGCCGAGACCCGAUGGGUGCUCGGCGCCGUGGCGCCCGGCUCGCGGCUCGGCCUCCCGGGCCUAGAAGCGCUGGCGGCGGCGGCCGGGCCUAGGGGCGGCUCCCCGCCCUGGGCGGCGCCCGCGCUGCUCCAGGUGCCGGCGGCGGCCCAGCCGGCCCCGCGGAGGGACGGUAGCGACCUGCCCGCCUGCGCGCCCGCCGCCCUGGCCGUGCUGCGCCUGCAGCCGGGCGCCGAGGGAGCGGCGAGGGCGGCGGCGGCGGCUGCCGGGGCCGCGCCGCGCCUGCGGACCGUCUACGUGAAUCCGCGCUGGCUGGAGCGGCAGGCCGCGCUGGGGGCGGCGGCGGCGGCGGCCAGCCCGUGCGCCGAGGCGGCGGCGUCGGCGGCAUCGGCGGCGGUGGUGGCGAACAGCGCGGCCGGGGACCCGGCGGCGGCGGCGUCGGCGUCGGUCGCGGCGGCGGGGCAGGGCGAGGCGGUGGCGGCUGCAGCGGCGGCGCCCGCGAAGGCGCCCGCGCCCGCACCCCCGCCCCCCACGGCGGAAGCGGCGGCCACCCCCUACGUGGGGCUGCGGCGGCCCCUGGGCUACCAGCUGGCCAAGGCCACCAAGGAGCGCAUCUGGCGGGGGGAGUUCAUUGACCUGUUUUCCUUGCUCCACACAGAGCUGACCCCCGAGCACAGCCCGCACCCGGGGGACACGCUGGACCAGUGGGUGUCGGCCUUUCUGGUGUACGCCAGCGUGGUGUGCGAGAAGCACCCGGCACGUUGCGGAGCCAUGUUCAAGUACCUGGACACCAUCCGUAAGCUGCACGCCACCUAUGGGGGCAACUCGUGGAUGAACUACGACGAGGAUUUCCGGCGGCGGGCGGCCAAGGACCCCAACCUGCCGUGGGGCGACGUCGACCUGGACCUGUGGAUGAAGUGGAUGGCCCCUCUCAAGUCGCUCCUCAGCAGGCACAAUCGUAUGGACAACGAGCCGCCGGCCGCUCCGCCGGCACAACAACCACCGCCUUCAUCGUCAUCCCAGAGCCCCAGGAAGGAGGAGAAGAGCCAGACUCCGUGAAAGCAGAAGACCAGUUGGAAUGACAAGCAGAAUAAGUGGCCUGACUCCGUUGGUGUUUAAGUGGAGCUCUGGUAUUCUAGUGCAUUCUUUUACCUCUGCUUCUGUUGCGUUGCGAGCUGUGCUAGAGAAGACGUAGGAAAUUCCAUUUUACCCAAUCAGCAAUUGUAACAAUGGACUACAAACCUGCAGAGCAAGCCGGUUUGCUGGAAAACAGGAAUUCCUGCAGCGCAGCACUUGUCACAGACUAUCCAAAGAGGGCAAAGAUUCAGGAGAGUGAAUAAAUUGAACGUUGAUUGAAUGAGGUCA
Molecule: long non-coding RNA, 1494 nt
Organism: Coturnix japonica (Japanese quail)
Lineage: Eukaryota; Metazoa; Chordata; Aves; Galliformes; Phasianidae
Product: skin secretory protein xP2-like
Source: Ensembl